AAUUCAAAUAAAUUUAAUUUAUAAAUUUUAUUAAAAACAUUUAUCAAAUGAAUUUUACUUUUAUAUAUCCUUAAUUUGAUAUUACAGUUUGCAUUUUUUAUUAGUUUAUGUAAUAUAUAACAUGACUUGACAAGUGUUAGUCCUGCUGGAGGCUUGAAGCAUCAAUGAGAGGCAUCUGAGAGAAAUUUUCAGUUCCACGUGAAUUGGCAGCAAGUUUCACCAUUGAUGAAUAAAAAAUAUAUCUAUUGCUAAUUUAUCACGAUAAAAUGCAAAAUAUCAAUAUUAAUGUGACAUUAAUUUAUCGGAUUAUAUUUUACUAAAACCAAAUCACAAUAAAGAAUUAUUUUGACCCUUCUCGAAAUGAAAUAUAUUGCUCCAUAUUUCCAUCAUGUUUAAGAAAUUAAAGACCAUAUGUAAAUAAAACUGCCUAGAGCUUAGAUAGUUCAUAAAGUUACAAAGUAAAGCCAUGUAUUGAAACUCCUGAUCUAAUUAUAGCCCAUUUGUGUAUUUUAUACUCAUUAUUUGAUCAUCUUAUACAUUCACUUAUUCUAUAGUAGCCAACAGAGGUUGAAGAUGAUUUGCAGAUAUUUGCCACAUUAAAUCCUAGAGGGUAUAAGUUCAACAAAUAUUAGACUGUUAAUGAUUUACAAAGUUGAACAUUGAAAUUUAAAGAAUCAGUAACAAAUAAGGUUAUCACCAAUGUCUAAUGCAUACCAGAAAAGUUUCCAUAAAAUCAAAAUUAUUUUUUUUUCACAAAGCAUAAAAUCAAAUUAUAGUAGUGAAUCAAACCUGAAACUUAAUUGGUGUAGUGGUUUUCCCUUCGUUGGACAGAUCAUCACACUGAAUAUAUGGGAAGUAGAUGUCCUUCAGCCUGCAUUGGAGUUGAAAUAUGUCCAAGUUUUUCAUUUUAAGCUCCAAUAUCUCAACCUUUGUAAAGCUUCCCUGAGGAGAUCCUCUAUUUUCAUCUUCUGUAGGAUUCCUCAUGCCUCCUUUAGUCCUCCAAGUUAGUUCAGAAUGAGUACUGCUAAGCAUAGCUUCUCUCUCAAGAUGUAAAGUGUAAACUUUUCUAGACUCCUUUGUCUUGGAAGAGACUAAAGCACACCUCCCCAGAUGCAUAGAUGCCAUGGGUCCCCCAUAUCCAAACAUGCCAAAAUACGGCAUCAAGUAAGGUGGUUUGCCCCCUAUUGCCCGAGUCUUGGAUGAUCUGUGAAGUGAGGCACCCAACUUUCCCCACUUCACUAUAGAGUUUUCAUCACUGUUGUCCAUUCCAGGACCAGUGUCAAAAAUUGAAAUUUUAUCCUCCAAUUUCAUGAAGUCAACACUUAUCAAUCUCCUAUCAUUUUUACCAUUAGACCAAACAGCUUGCAAGGAAUUGUCGAUCAAAUCUGCUAGAGCAGUUUCAAAAGUAUACUCCUCUGGUAGCUCCCUUAGUAAAUCAGUAUCAGGAGUCAAAUCCCACAUGUUCUCAUAAAUAUCAAUAGUCAUUUUGGACCCAUCAUGAAGGCGCAAAAUGUGACACUUGUGCGGCUUGAAAUUAGCAAAGUAGAUCCUGCGCCUUAUUUUGUUGUCAUUUGCAUCCUCAAGGUACAGAUUUCCACCAUUCCAAUUUACAGGCCUAUUCCUCUUCGAUUCCGAUUGUCGCUGAGCCAGCAAAUACUCUUCUUUCACCAAUUUAAUAAAAUCAUCAAACAAAAUUUCACUUCCUGGGUCCGUCAAUCUCAAUCCUACAGUCAUUCCAUUUGGCAAUAGUAUCCUGAACCUAUAAAUCAUCUCCAUCGCCACUAGUUGCCUCUUGCUCCCCCUCGAUUCCAUAUUUCAAAAAUACAAGAAAAUCAAAAUGAGACGAGAACAAAAACCAAACCGCAAACUGCUAUUCUGACACAAAACUUUGCUUCUCAAUCAAGAAAGCCAUGAUGAAGAUGAUAAUAGCACCUUUCUUUAGACAGAAUGCGCUUGAGCUUGAAACAGAUGGAGAAAGAGAGAGAACUCAGAAGCUAUGGUUUUAGUAAAGAAGA
Molecule: unclassified non-coding RNA, 2015 nt
Filed under: Hevea brasiliensis (rubber tree)
Lineage: Eukaryota; Viridiplantae; Streptophyta; Magnoliopsida; Malpighiales; Euphorbiaceae
Source: RNAcentral